This 253-nucleotide ribosomal RNA is filed under the name uncultured bacterium. RNAcentral's name for it is "partial 16S ribosomal RNA". It matches the Rfam family "Bacterial small subunit ribosomal RNA", at positions 524 to 776 of the family's 1533-position model. The record is from RNAcentral.
UACGUAGGGUGCGAGCGUUGCCCGGAUUUAUUGGGCGUAAAGGGCGCGCAGGCGGUUGUGUGCGUCACGUGUGAAAUCUCCCGGCUCAACCGGGAGGGUGCGCCGAAUACUGAGUGACUAGAGUGCGGGAGAGGAAAGUGGAAUUCCUGGUGUAGCGGUGAAAUGCGUAGAUAGCAGGAGGAACACCGGUGGUGUAGACGGCUUUCUGGACCGUAACUGACGCUGAGACACGAAAGCGUGGGUAGCAAACAGG